Pongo abelii (Sumatran orangutan) is the source of this 151-nucleotide unclassified non-coding RNA. It matches the Rfam family "Metazoan signal recognition particle RNA". From Rfam's summary of the family: The signal recognition particle (SRP) is a universally conserved ribonucleoprotein. It is involved in the co-translational targeting of proteins to membranes. The eukaryotic SRP consists of a 300-nucleotide 7S RNA and six proteins: SRPs 72, 68, 54, 19, 14, and 9. The record is from Ensembl. Lineage: Eukaryota; Metazoa; Chordata; Mammalia; Primates; Hominidae.
GCUGGGCAUGGUGGCGUGUGCCUGUAGUCCCAGCUACUUGGGAGGCUGAGGUGGGAGGAUGGCUUGAGCCCAGGAGGUGGAGGUUGUAGUAAGCCAUGAUCGUGCUGCCACUGCACUCCAGCCUGGACAACAGAGCCAGACCCUGUCUCAG